CUGGAGGUAUCAGAAGUGCGAAUGCUGACAUAAGUAACGAUAAAGCGGGUGAAAAGCCCGCUCGCCGGAAGACCAAGGGUUCCUGUCCAACGUUAAUCGGGGCAGGGUGAGUCGACCCCUAAGGCGAGGCCGAAAGGCGUAGUCGAUGGGAAACGGGUUAAUAUUCCCGUACUUGGUGUUACUGCGAAGGGGGGACGGAGAAGGCUAUGUUGGCCGGGCGACGGUUGUCCCGGUUUAAGCGUGUAGGCUGGUUUUCCAGGCAAAUCCGGAAAAUCAAGGCUGAGGCGUGACGACGAGGCACUACGGUGCUGAAGCAACAAAUGCCCUGCUUCCAGGAAAAGCCUCUAAGCAUCAGGUAACAUCAAAUCGUACCCCAAACCGACACAGGUGGUCAGGUAGAGAAUACCAAGGCGCUUGAGAGAACUCGGGUGAAGGAACUAGGCAAAAUGGUGCCGUAACU
This 460-nucleotide ribosomal RNA is filed under the name Salmonella enterica. Its description in RNAcentral is "partial 23S ribosomal RNA". It matches the Rfam family "Bacterial large subunit ribosomal RNA", at positions 1273 to 1735 of the family's 2925-position model. The record is from RNAcentral. Lineage: Bacteria; Pseudomonadati; Pseudomonadota; Gammaproteobacteria; Enterobacterales; Enterobacteriaceae. RNAcentral also lists the same sequence under 1 other name.